Long non-coding RNA from Solanum tuberosum (potato), 526 nucleotides. RefSeq lists it as uncharacterized. The record is from RefSeq and is a predicted model, not a curated record. NCBI's taxonomy places the organism in Eukaryota, Viridiplantae, Streptophyta, Magnoliopsida, Solanales, Solanaceae. The transcript is spliced from 2 exons.
AGCAUUGAGCUUGAAACACAAGUUCUAAAAUUAAAGCUUUUAAAAUUAUUACUACUUUUUUCGUAUAGAAAUUAAGGUUUGUAAUAUAAUAUGGCAGCACUACUCUCCAACAACUCUAUAAGAUCCAUAGUGAUUACACUUAUGAUCUAUGCUAUUUUCUUAGCUCCCUUGCUACUAUGGUCAUGCGAUGCAUCUCGAGAACUCGCGUCAAGCAAGUUUCCACCACGUGUUGUAUGUCUUCAUUGUGUGGGGUGUUGUGAACCUCCACCCCCAGGUACUUGUUGUACCCGCUGUGGUUGUUGAAGUUUCUCUUCUCUACAUGUCAGAAUUGAACAAGUUUGAUCAGCAAUUGGUGUGACUUUGAUUAAUUAUACGUACAUGUUAUUCAAUAAAGAAGGAACUUAUUGGUUUCUUUAGGUUGAUUAUAGGAGUAUUAUUAUGUGUACAUUGUGGGGAACAAUGUGUUUGUAACGUUUUGUAAUUCAAGUUGAUAAAUUACGACAAGGAAAGCCUGAAGUUUUAUCUA